GUUCAGCCGACGAGUUCCAAAUAGGAUGAAACGUGCGUCCUGGAU
RNAcentral lists this non-coding RNA (45 nucleotides) under Schistosoma margrebowiei. The record is from RNAcentral. Lineage: Eukaryota; Metazoa; Platyhelminthes; Trematoda; Strigeidida; Schistosomatidae.